Molecule: ribosomal RNA, 469 nt
Filed under: uncultured Rhodoferax sp.
Lineage: Bacteria; Pseudomonadati; Pseudomonadota; Betaproteobacteria; Burkholderiales; Comamonadaceae
Description: bacterial SSU rRNA
Rfam family: Bacterial small subunit ribosomal RNA
Source: RNAcentral
GACGGGACCCGCACAAGCGGUGGAUGAUGUGGUUUAAUUCGAUGCAACGCGAAAAACCUUACCCACCUUUGACAUGUACGGAACCCUUUUAGAGAUAGAGGGGUGCUCGAAAGAGAGCCGUAACACAGGUGCUGCAUGGCUGUCGUCAGCUCGUGUCGUGAGAUGUUGGGUUAAGUCCCGCAACGAGCGCAACCCUUGUCAUUAGUUGCUACAUUCAGUUGGGCACUCUAAUGGGACUGCCGGUGACAAGCCGGAGGAAGGUGGGGAUGACGUCAAGUCCUCAUGGCCCUUAUAGGUGGGCUACACACGUCAUACAAUGGCUGGUACAAAGGGUUGCCAACCCGCGAGGGGGAGCCAAUCCCAUAAAGCCAGUCGUAGUCCGGAUCGUAGUCUGCAACUCGACUACGUGAAGUCGGAAUCGCUAGUAAUCGUGGAUCAGAAUGUCACGGUGAAUACGUUCCCGGGUCUU